This 445-nucleotide ribosomal RNA is filed under the name uncultured bacterium. Its description in RNAcentral is "partial 16S ribosomal RNA". It matches the Rfam family "Bacterial small subunit ribosomal RNA", at positions 354 to 796 of the family's 1533-position model. The record is from RNAcentral.
GUGAGGAAUAUUGCGCAAUGGAGGCAACUCUGACGCAGCCAUGCCGCGUGCAGGAAGAAGGCGCUACGCGGUGUAAACUGCUUUUAACCGGGAAGAAACCCCAGGACGUGUCCUGGGUUGACGGUACCGGAGGAAUAAGCACCGGCUAACUUCGUGCCAGCAGCCGCGGUAAUACGAAGGGUGCAAGCGUGGUCCGGAUUCAUUGGGUUUAAAGGGUGCGUACGCGGAGCGUUAAGUCAGUGGUGAAAUCCUGCAGCUAAACUGUAGCCUUGCCAUUGAUACUGGCGCUCUUGAGUGCACUUGAAGUGGGCAGAAUGUGCCGUGUAGCGGUGAAAUGCUUAGAUAUGGCACAGAACACCAAUUGCGAAGGAAGCUCACUAAGGCGAUACUGACGCUGAGGCACGAAAGCGUGGGGAUCGAACAGGAUUAGAAACCCGUGUAGUCC